Molecule: non-coding RNA, 239 nt
Organism: Pelobates cultripes (western spadefoot toad)
Lineage: Eukaryota; Metazoa; Chordata; Amphibia; Anura; Pelobatidae
Source: the annotation of a GenBank genome assembly
UUUGUCUUUUAACUGCAGAUUAGAUAGAUAGAUACACACUGAUCAGCAGGGCUGGAUUGUGAAAGAAAUUCAGCCCAAGCAUUUAAAGCCACAGCAGCUCGGUAGAGGGGGUCGGGACAGAGAGGGGGCGUGCCAUGUCAUCAACAAUGACACACACGCCACCUCAAAGUGAGCAUGUUAGUUUGCUGUGCAUCCAGGGCAUCUCAUGCGCGAAGCCCUGCUGAAGAGCUCUGCCGUAG